CGAAAGAGUAACCCGUUGGACGACAGUCCAGAGCCGAAAGCACGAAACACCACCAGAACAGGUAACAUUAGAAGACGAAAGCGAGUGUUCCUACCUUUUUACUUCGUGUUAUAAGAGACUAUAUAGUAAAUACAGAAGAACGAAAGUAAGAGAAAGAAAGAAGAAAAUAGAAGUAGGUUGCUGCACUUGCGUCGGUGUUCCCGAGUUUGGGAGUAGCACUUUAAUUUUUUUCUUUGGAUACGGAGGUUGAUCCUCAAACUACCAUCAAUAAAUCACCAUGCGCAGCCUGAGUAUAGCCGUUCUCCUCGUCGCCUGCCUCGCAGCCAUCAUCUCCAGAGAAUCGGCCGUCCAAGCAAGACCAAGGAUGGGCAUCCCAACUUUAAUGCAGGGUGGUAUGCCAUUCGGCAAGAGGGGUUACAUCGGAAAAAAUGCAAGAGACUGCUUCCACAGUGCACUCAACGAUGAUAAAAACAGCGAAGAACUUCUUGGUCUGAUUGAGGCAUGGUACAGGAUGAAAAUUGAUGAUGCAUUUAGUUGUAUGAACGGAUUAUCAACAUUCGAUGAUGUCGAUGCAUAGUAGAAGUAAAAACUUUUGUUUUGUUCAUCGUUUCAUCGUGUCUUCAUGUUGCUUCAGUAAAUCUUCUCUUCUUCACCUACCUAUAAGAUGACAUCAUUGCACGUAGUCAAAGAAAGUGGACUUUGCCUGGUGAAACAAUUCGGAUAAACAAGGAAGACCCAAUUAUCGCAACAAGAGAUAUAAAAAGAAGUGGACGAUUUAAUGAGGUUGUAAAAUGACAGCUUUGUGAAGACCUAUUUGAACUGAGCCUGUCAGCGGAAUGUCAGAAACAGCCUUUAUGUUUAUUCUCUCUGUCCUCGAAUUUGAUAUUUUUGUUUUGAUUAAUACCUAAUUAGCGGUGUGAAAGAUAAUUUGUUGGCCAAUAACUGACUCUUCUUUCUAAAUUACUAAUGGUGUUAUGAUAAUAUGAUUUUAAAAACGAUUACUUAGGUGGAUAUAUUACGUUGCACGUAGCACAGAAGUGGAAUCAUUCACCGUUCUCCCUCGCAGGGAAAGUUAUUUGCCUGGAAAAUGGACGAAAAAUUGGCAAGAGGAAACGAAGAGUGAAAAAAGAAGGAGACUAUGCAAUGUCAAUCAAAGAUUUGGAACCUUUGGAAGGAUAGCUGUACCCAUAGGAAAUGGCUGACACGAUGAGAUGGGCAGGUCGUGCAGCUAUAUAGAACUCACCACUCCCUCGGUAUGGUAUACAUGGCCUUUCUGCCCGUUUAAAUUACAAUCAACGAUACCAAACAAAUGGCUAUUGAUCUAUUCCAUUCCACCAAACUCAAAGGGCUGAUAAGUCUUACGAGGACUAUCCACUAUAACUUGAUAGAAAGGCUAGCAGGCAAAGCAAAUAAGUGGUCAUAUCGAUGCUUUAUUACACAGCACGAGUGACAACCAUCUUGUUCCAUUAUCUCUUCCAUUUUCCUGUCUCUCGUCACAUUCUCAGAUUAUAAAUACGUUACUCGAACAUUCAUGAACUAUAUAGGUUAUGUUUAUCGUGUUGAAUAUCAUUUAGACUGGCCUAAUUCCACUUCUUAGCACUCAACUGCACUUAUUUUUGUGAUCGAAAUCUCGUUUGCGUAUCGUAUUGGACUAGAAUCACCACUGCCGUCAAAUAAUCUGUUAUCUUUUUUGAAAUAGUUGUUCUAGAAGAUGUAAAUAUGAGAAAUUAAUUUCCAACCUAAACCCAAAAUUCUCUUUCACCUUUGAAAAGUUUUAUUUUGUUUCGUGUUGUAAAUAUUUUAAUAAAGAUAGUAAAAAAAUAUGUAGCUUAUUAUAUUAGUGCACGCUAUUAUGCUAUCGUUAGGCCUAACCUCGAAACUCACCAUGUCUUGGCGUUAUCAAAUUUCUGAACUAACAUAGGCAUUUAUUUGCUAUUUCAAUCUAUCAUUUUGAUUAUUUAUCUCCUUUAAGUACAAACAAAAGCAUGAAAGUUCAAUUUUGACAUGCUAUUUCUAAAUAAAAUUUCACUCCUAUCCAUCCUA
This 2043-nucleotide long non-coding RNA is filed under the name Lytechinus variegatus (green sea urchin). RNAcentral describes it as "uncharacterized LOC121410366". Lineage: Eukaryota; Metazoa; Echinodermata; Echinoidea; Temnopleuroida; Toxopneustidae. The record is from RNAcentral.